GUUGCUGUCUACUACAGUCACUGAAAUAAACUGUCCACACACUGAGAGCUGCAAUGAAGGAAGCAUCUGUCAGAGUGCUCCUCUGUCUGGUUUUGGCGACUCGCUGCACAACAAACAAAGCAGCUGCUCUGACUGUGAGUCCCAGCAGAUCUCAGUUCUUUGCCAG
This is a long non-coding RNA of Cyprinodon tularosa, 166 nucleotides long. RefSeq lists it as uncharacterized. The record is from RefSeq and is a predicted model, not a curated record. NCBI's taxonomy places the organism in Eukaryota, Metazoa, Chordata, Actinopteri, Cyprinodontiformes, Cyprinodontidae. The transcript is spliced from 3 exons.